CAGUUAAAAAGCUCGUAGUUGGAUUUCGGAACCGGCCGAUUGGUCCGUCCUCUGGAUCGUGUACUGAUCGGUCUGUUCUUCUUCGCGAAGACCGCGUGUGCUCUUAACUGAGUGGGCGUGGGAUUCGCGACGUUUACUUUGAAAAAAUUAGAGUGUUCAAAGCAGGCAGUCGCUUGAAUAUCUCAGCAUGGAAUAAUAGAAUAGGACUUUGGUCUUAUUUUGUUGGUUUCCGAGACCGAAGUAAUGAUAAAUAGGGACAGUUGGGGGCAUUCGUAUUACAUUGUCAGAGGUGAAAUUCUUGGAUUUAUGAAAGACGAACUUCUGCGAAAGCAUUUGCCAAGGAUGUUUUCAUUAAUCAAGAACGAAAGUUGGAGGCUCGAAGACGAUCAGAUACCGUCCUAGUUCCAACCAUAAACGAUGCCGUCUGCGGAUCGGAGGUCGCUCAUGUAAGGCUCCUUCGGCACGCUAUGAGAAAUCAAAGACUUCGGGUUCCGGGGGGAGUAUGUUCGCAAGAAUGAAACUUAAAGGAAUUGACGGAAGGGCACCACCAGGAGUGGAACCUGCGGUUUAAUUUGACUCAACACGGGAAAACUCACCAGGUCCAGACAUAGGAAGGAUUGACAGAUUGAGAGCU
RNAcentral lists this ribosomal RNA (634 nucleotides) under uncultured marine eukaryote. RNAcentral describes it as "SSU rRNA". It matches the Rfam family "Eukaryotic small subunit ribosomal RNA", at positions 616 to 1256 of the family's 1831-position model. The record is from RNAcentral.